ACCCCAGAAUGAAGCGGGAUCACCCCGAGUUUAAGUAUAUCAAUAGCGGAGGAGGAAAAAGAAACUAACAAGAGAUUCCGCAGUAACGGCGAACAAGCAGGAGAAGAAACUGACUUGAAAAUCAGACAUCUUUGGCGUUCGAAUUGUAGUGCGGGAAGCGUCCUCAACGAUGGACCCAUUUGAAAUUCCCUGGAAGAAUUGCCAGAGAAGGGGAGAGGCCGUCGUGCCCGGACCCUAUGCUUUUCUGAGAACUCUGUCUCUGGUCGGGUUGUUUGGAUGCAACUAAUGAGGCGAUAGAAUUCGAUAAAGACUAAAUAUGGGUGAGAGGCCGAUGGCCGAACAAGUACAUGGUAAAGAUGAAAAGGACUUUGAAAAAAGUCAAGUGCUUGAAAUUGUCGGGAGGAAGCGGAUGGGGGCCAGUGAUUCAUCGUGGGAUCGGAGCGGGCAAUCGAUUACUGCUGAUCGAUUGAACCCGUGGACGGCCGGAUAAAGUGGUAACCUAAGCCUGGGCUUUGUUCACGCUUCGCGGAAGGCGUUGCUGCAUGUCAUGGUCUGCACCACGUGCCUCCCGGCGUCUGCGGCAUCUCCAUGCUCGGGGGGCGCGUCGGCCUGUGGGCUCCCCCACCGACCUAUCUUGGAAACAUGGACCAGGGGGUCUGACAUGUGUGUGGAUGCUUGGUGGGGGGGAAGUAAACUCAUGAAGCCUUGAAGCCUGAUUGGCUGGAUUAAGCCGGUACCUGACCCGACCGACCUUCUUCUUCUCAGAAGGGUUCGAGUGUGAGCCUGCUUGGCCGGGACCGAAAGAUGGUGAACUAUGCUGGCGUGUGGCCGGGAACUCUGGUGGAGGCCAUGGCGUACUGACGUGCAAAUCGUUAAAUGGACUUGGGUAUAGGGGAAAAGACUUGUCGAACCAUCGUAUGGUUCCCUCCGAAGUUUCAGGGAUAGUUGGGCUGGAAAUGAGUUUAUGUCGGGGUAAAACCAAUGAUUAGAGGCAUCGAGGGGCCUUAAUGUCCUCAACUAUUCUCAAACUUUUAAUGGGUAGGGGCGGGUGACUUCUUUGUUGAGCCAUCCCCCGCAAUCGAGAGCUCAAGUGGGCCAUUUUUUGGUAGCGAGGAGGCGAUGCGGGAUGACCAGAAGCGAGAUUCACGAUUGCCCACUGAACUAACCUAGAACCAUGGGGUGUUGGUGGAUUAAAACGCGGGGCGGUGGUCAUGGAGGUGAAAUCGCUAUGGAGUAACAACUCUCCCCGAAAGAAUCAAUGGUGAAAAAAUGGUGCUAAAGCGACCUAUACGACGUGCAGGAUGAGAGCCAGGCCUCGACAGUAGGAGGGUGCGGCGGUCGAUGCAAAACCCUAGGGCUCUAGCCGGGCCCGGAGGCCGAUGGUGCAGAUCUUGGUGGUAGUAGCAAAUAUUCAAAUGAGAACUUUGAAGGCCCGAAGGGGAAAGGUUCCAUGACGCGAAACUUGCACAUGGGUUAGUGAUCCCUAAGAGUCGAGGGGAAACCGUCGAUAAGCGCUUAUGCGAACUUGAAAGGGAUCGGUUAAAAUUCUGGAACAGGGGCGUGGCGGUUGGCGACAACGUUUGGAAGUUGGAGAUGUCGGCGAAAUUCGGAAAAGUUAUAUUUUCUGUUUAACAGCGGCCACCACAAAUGGCUCGGCGGGAGAAUGCGGUCCAGGAGCUGGAAGAGCACCGCCGUCGUGGUGGUGUCGCUGCAUUCGGCUGACCCCUUGAAAAUCCGGAGGGACGAGUGCCAGCUCGCCCGUCGUACUCAUAACCGCAUCAGGUCUCCAAGGUGAACAGUCUACGGUGAUGGAACAAUGUAAGCAAGGAAGUCGGCAAAAAUGGAUCCGUAACUUUGGGAAAAGGAUUAGCUCGAGGACUAGGCUCGGGGUACCAGUUGCUAACCCGUCGACUGUUGGCGGGCUGCUUGAGCUGCUAGUGCGGUGAGAGCAGACCACCUGCGUGUCGGCGGGGGGGGACGGACUAGGAAAAGGCUCUUGGGAUCUUUCCCUGGCGUCGAACAGCCAACUCAAAGAACUGGUGCGGACAAGGGGAAUCCAAAGUUUUUAAUUAAAACAAAGCAUUGCAAUGGUCCCUGCGGAUGCUAUGACUCUCUUAAGGUAGCCAAAAAGCCUCAUCAUCUAAUUGGUGAAGCAUGAAUGAAUUCGCGAGAUUCCCACUGUCCAUCUGCUACUAUCCAUGAAACCCAGCCCGAGGGCGGGCUUGGCGAGAAUCAAUGAGGGAAAAGACCCUGUUGAGCUUGACUCUAGUCUGACUUUGUGAAAUGACUUGAGAGGUGUAGAAUAUAUGGGAACUCCGGUUGCAAGUGAAAUAUUACUACUUUUAACGUUAUUUUACUUUCUCGUGAAUGAUGGAGGCGGGGUAACAACCCUUCUUUUAGACCCUUCGGCUUAGUCGAGGUCAAUCGGGGAGGAGGACAUCGCCAGGUGGGGGAGUUUGGCUGGGGUGGCACAACUGUAAAAGAUAGCGCAUGUGUCCCUAAAACCGAGCUCAGCGAGAACAAAAUCUGUUAUGUGGAACAAAAGGGUAAAGCUUGUUUGAUUCUGAUUUUCAAUGCGAAUCGAACCACGAGCGGCGUGCCCUAUCGAUCCUUUAGACGCCGAAUUUGUGGCAGCCAAGUGUUCAUAGCGAUGUUGCUUUAUGAUCCGCCGAUGUUGGCUCUUCCUAUCAUUGUGAAGCAGAAUUCACCAAGUGUUGGAUUGUUCACCCACCAAUAGGGAACGUGAUCUGGGUUUAGACAGUAGGUGAGACAGGUUAGUUUUACCCCUACGAUGCGAAAAUAGUAAUUCAACCUAGUACAAGAGGAACCGUUGAUUCGCACAAUUGGUCAUCGGCUUGUUUGAAAAGCAAGCCAAUGAAGCUUCUGGUCGCUGGAUUAUGACUGAAUGCCUCUAAGUCAGAAUCUGGGCUGAAACAACGCAUGCACCCGACACCCGAUUGCGACCCUCGUGGGACCUUCAGCUCCAAAGACGCGUUAAUGGUUGGCUAAAAUCCGUUCGGUAAGCACCGUUCGGACCGCCUUGAAUUAUAAUUACCGGUGGGUAGAAUCUUUGCAGAUGACUUAAAUGCGAUGGAGUAUUGUAAGUGACAGAGUGGCCUUGCUGCCCACGAUCCACUGAAUUCAGCUCUUUGUCACUAAGAUUGAUCCUCCCCUUUC
Molecule: ribosomal RNA, 3177 nt
Filed under: Brassica rapa (field mustard)
Lineage: Eukaryota; Viridiplantae; Streptophyta; Magnoliopsida; Brassicales; Brassicaceae
Description: eukaryotic LSU rRNA
Rfam family: Eukaryotic large subunit ribosomal RNA
Source: RNAcentral